Molecule: transfer RNA, 70 nt
Filed under: Loxodonta africana (African savanna elephant)
Lineage: Eukaryota; Metazoa; Chordata; Mammalia; Proboscidea; Elephantidae
Rfam family: tRNA
About the family: Transfer RNA (tRNA) molecules are approximately 80 nucleotides in length. Their secondary structure includes four short double-helical elements and three loops (D, anti-codon, and T loops). Further hydrogen bonds mediate the characteristic L-shaped molecular structure. tRNAs have two regions of fundamental functional importance: the anti-codon, which is responsible for specific mRNA codon recognition, and the 3' end, to which the tRNAs corresponding amino acid is attached (by aminoacyl-tRNA synthetases). tRNAs cope with the degeneracy of the genetic code in two manners: having more than one tRNA (with a specific anti-codon) for a particular amino acid; and 'wobble' base-pairing, i.e. permitting non-standard base-pairing at the 3rd anti-codon position.
Source: Rfam by way of RNAcentral
GCAGUGGUGGUUCAGUGGUAGAAUUCCACCUUCCAUGCAGGAGACCCGUGUUCAAUUCCUGGCCAGUGCA